AAACCUGCUGAGUAAAAAACAGACGAAAAUAAAACCAUACAAUCAAGAUUAUCCAUAUCAUUAUGUAUGUCAAUGGUACUCCUUUGCGAUAGGUAGAAACUCCAAGCAAUGUAAAAUAUGGCCCAGACCAUGUUUACCAGCAUGAACAUUAGACUUCAAAAAGUAGCGAACCAUUUAAUGGUUUUAGUAAAUUUAUACAGAAAAAGCAAGCAUUAUACCGCCCAGCAUAAAUAAAAGUCAACGUUAUUA
This is a long non-coding RNA of Octopus sinensis (East Asian common octopus), 249 nucleotides long. RefSeq lists it as uncharacterized. NCBI's taxonomy places the organism in Eukaryota, Metazoa, Mollusca, Cephalopoda, Octopoda, Octopodidae. The transcript is spliced from 3 exons. The record is from RefSeq and is a predicted model, not a curated record.